Molecule: transfer RNA, 70 nt
Filed under: Rhipicephalus microplus (southern cattle tick)
Lineage: Eukaryota; Metazoa; Arthropoda; Arachnida; Ixodida; Ixodidae
Description: tRNA-Val
Source: RNAcentral
GUUUCCGUGUAGUGGUUAUCACAUGCGCCUCACACGCGCAAGGUCCCCGGUUCAAUCCCGGGCGGAAACA